Small nuclear RNA from Rhinolophus ferrumequinum (greater horseshoe bat), 104 nucleotides. The record is from Ensembl. Lineage: Eukaryota; Metazoa; Chordata; Mammalia; Chiroptera; Rhinolophidae.
GUGCCCACUUUGGCAGCACUUAUACUAAAAAUUGAAAUGAUACAGAGAUUAGCAGGGACCUGUGCCAGGAUGACACCCAUAUUCAUGAAGCAUUACAUUAAAAA